RNAcentral lists this ribosomal RNA (468 nucleotides) under uncultured bacterium. RNAcentral describes it as "partial 16S ribosomal RNA". It matches the Rfam family "Bacterial small subunit ribosomal RNA", at positions 28 to 507 of the family's 1533-position model. The record is from RNAcentral.
GACGAACGCUGGGGGCGUGCUUAACACAUGCAAGUCGAACGGAAAGGCCCUGCUUUUGUGGGGUGCUCGAGUGGCGAACGGGUGAGUAACACGUGAGUAACCUGCCCCUGACUUUGGGAUAACUUCAGGAAACUGGGGCUAAUACCGGAUAGGAGCUCCUGCUGCAUGGUGGGGGUUGGAAAGUUUCGGCGGUUGGGGAUGGACUCGCGGCUUAUCAGCUUGUUGGUGGGGUAGUGGCUUACCAAGGCUUUGACGGGUAGCCGGCCUGAGAGGGUGACCGGCCACAUUGGGACUGAGAUACGGCCCAGACUCCUACGGGAGGCAGCAGUGGGGAAUAUUGCACAAUGGGCGGAAGCCUGAUGCAGCAACGCCGCGUGCGGGAUGACGGCCUUCGGGUUGUAAACCGCUUUCGCCUGUGACGAAGCGUGAGUGACGGUAAUGGGUAAAGAAGCACCGGCUAACUACGUG